UACGUAGGGUGCAAGCGUUGUUCGGAAUUAUUGGGCGUAAAGCGAACGUAGGCGGGUUGGUAAGUCAAAUGUGAAAUCCCUGAGCUCAACUCGGGAAUUGCAUUAGAUACUGCCAAUCUUGAAUGCUUGAGAGGGUGGUGGAAUUCCAGGUGUAGAAGUGAAAUUCGUAGAUAUCUGGAGGAACAUCCGUGGCGAAGGCGGCCACCUGGCAAGACAUUGACGCUGAGGUGCGAAAGCGUGGGGAGCAAACAGG
RNAcentral lists this ribosomal RNA (253 nucleotides) under uncultured bacterium. RNAcentral's name for it is "partial 16S ribosomal RNA". It matches the Rfam family "Bacterial small subunit ribosomal RNA", at positions 524 to 776 of the family's 1533-position model. The record is from RNAcentral.